This 253-nucleotide ribosomal RNA is filed under the name uncultured bacterium. Its description in RNAcentral is "partial 16S ribosomal RNA". It matches the Rfam family "Bacterial small subunit ribosomal RNA", at positions 524 to 776 of the family's 1533-position model. The record is from RNAcentral.
UACGGGGGGGGCAAGCGUUGUUCGGAAUUACUGGGCGUAAAGGGCUCGUAGGUGGCCAACUAAGUCGGACGUGAAAUCCCUCAGCUUAACUGGGGAACUGCGUCCGAUACUGGAUGGCUUGAGUUUGGGAGAGGGAUGCGGAAUUCCCGGUGUAGAGGUGAAAUUCGUAGAUAUCGGGAGGAACACCGGUGGCGAAGGCGGCGACCUGGGUCGAGACUGACGCUGAUGCGCGAAAGCGUGGGGAGCAAACAGG